Molecule: ribosomal RNA, 154 nt
Filed under: Leucoagaricus sp. SymC.cos
Lineage: Eukaryota; Fungi; Basidiomycota; Agaricomycetes; Agaricales; Agaricaceae
Description: 5.8S ribosomal RNA
Rfam family: 5.8S ribosomal RNA
About the family: 5.8S ribosomal RNA (5.8S rRNA) is a component of the large subunit of the eukaryotic ribosome. It is transcribed by RNA polymerase I as part of the 45S precursor that also contains 18S and 28S rRNA. Functionally, it is thought that 5.8S rRNA may be involved in ribosome translocation.
Source: Rfam by way of RNAcentral
AACUUUCAGCAACAGAUCUCUUGGCUCUCAUAUCAAUGAAGAAUGCAGUGAAAUGUGAUAAGUAAUGUGAAUUGCAGAAUUCAGUGAAUCUUUGAAUCUUUGAAUGCACCUUGUGCUCCUUGGUAUUCUGAGGAGCAUGCCUGUUUGAGAGUCA